This 492-nucleotide ribosomal RNA is filed under the name uncultured bacterium. Its description in RNAcentral is "partial 16S ribosomal RNA". It matches the Rfam family "Bacterial small subunit ribosomal RNA", at positions 29 to 507 of the family's 1533-position model. The record is from RNAcentral.
AGUGAACGCUGGCGGUAGGCCUAACACAUGCAAGUCGAACGGCAGCACAGUAAGAGCUUGCUCUUACGGGUGGCGAGUGGCGGACGGGUGAGGAAUACAUCGGAAUCUACUUUUUCGUGGGGGAUAACGUAGGGAAACUUACGCUAAUACCGCAUACGACCUACGGGUGAAAGCAGGGGAUCUUCGGACCUUGCGCGAUUGAAUGAGCCGAUGUCGGAUUAGCUAGUUGGCGGGGUAAAGGCCCACCAAGGCGACGAUCCGUAGCUGGUCUGAGAGGAUGAUCAGCCACACUGGAACUGAGACACGGUCAAGACUCCUACGGGAGGCAGCAGUGGGGAAUAUUGGACAGUGGGCGCAAGCCUGAUCCAGCCAUACCGCGUGGGUGAAGAAGGCCUUCGGGUUGUAAAGCCCUUUUGUUGGGAAAGAAAAGCAGCAGGUUAAUACCCCGCUGUUCUGACGGUACCCAAAGAAUAAGCACCGGCUAACUUCGUG